Molecule: long non-coding RNA, 399 nt
Organism: Notolabrus celidotus (New Zealand spotty)
Lineage: Eukaryota; Metazoa; Chordata; Actinopteri; Labriformes; Labridae
Exons: 3
Source: RefSeq, a predicted model, not a curated record
UAGAGCUGCAGCUGAUUUGAGAGUUUCGGGAAAAGAGAAGAUUGUUGCCGAAGCUCCCCUUAUUUGUCUUUGAUUGAGUUUUGUCUGCGUCUAUUUAUAAAGUAACUGGUGUCGGAGUCAUGGAGAGACGCCGAUGGACCACAGUCAGGGCUGGCCGAAGCCAACUAGGUUGAAGACAGAGGAGAGGCGGCGUAAGGCUUGGACUCCUUCCCCUUCAAGAUUCUCGUCUGUGACCCUGACACCAGCAUGGAUAAAUGAAGCAUCAUGGACGGAGAGGAUCACAGCUCUUCCAGGAUUUUGAACUGUUUGCCUCAACCUGCCCAGCUGCCAGAUCAUCUGUUCCUUCACAGCUUUAAACUACAUCCAGCCUCACUUUAAAAAUAAACCUUUUGAACAGUG